RNAcentral lists this ribosomal RNA (254 nucleotides) under uncultured Ilumatobacter sp. RNAcentral describes it as "partial 16S ribosomal RNA". It matches the Rfam family "Bacterial small subunit ribosomal RNA", at positions 524 to 776 of the family's 1533-position model. Lineage: Bacteria; Bacillati; Actinomycetota; Acidimicrobiia; Acidimicrobiales; Ilumatobacteraceae. The record is from RNAcentral.
CACGUAGGCACCAAGCGUUGUCCGGAUUUAUUGGGCGUAAAGAGCUCGUAGGCGGUUCAGUAAGUCGGGUGUGAAAACUGUGGGCUUAACCCACAGCCUGCACUCGAAACUGCUGUGACUAGAGUUCGGUAGGGGAGCGGGGAAUUCCUGGUGUAGCGGUGAAAUGCGCAGAUAUCAGGAGGAACACCGGUGGCGAAGGCGCCGCUCUGGGCCGACACUGACGCUGAGGAGCGAAAGCGUGGGUAGCAAACAGG